GAUGAACGCUGGCGGCGUGCCUAAUACAUGCAAGUCGAGCGAACAGACGAGGAGCUUGCUCCUCUGACGUUAGCGGCGGACGGGUGAGUAACACGUGGAUAACCUACCUACAAGACUGGGAUAACUUCGGGAAACCGGAGCUAAUACCGGAUAAUAUAUUGAACCGCAUGGUUCAAUAGUGAAAGACGGUUUUGCUGUCACUUAUAGAUGGAUCCGCGCCGCAUUAGCUAGUUGGUAAGGUAACGGCUUACCAAGGCGACGAUGCGUAGCCGACCUGAGAGGGUGAUCGGCCACACUGGAACUGAGACACGGUCCAGAUUCCUACGGGAGGCAGCAGUAGGGAAUCUUCCGCAAUGGGCGAAAGCCUGACGGAGCAACGCCGCGUGAGUGAUGAAGGUCUUCGGAUCGUAAAACUCUGUUAUUAGGGAAGAACAAAUGUGUAAGUAACUAUGCACGUCUUGACGGUACCUAAUCAGAAAGCCACGGCUAACUACGUG
RNAcentral lists this ribosomal RNA (497 nucleotides) under uncultured bacterium. Its description in RNAcentral is "partial 16S ribosomal RNA". It matches the Rfam family "Bacterial small subunit ribosomal RNA", at positions 28 to 507 of the family's 1533-position model. The record is from RNAcentral.